This 208-nucleotide long non-coding RNA is filed under the name Brassica napus (rape). Its description in RNAcentral is "long non-coding RNA (BNAP_LNC002555)". The record is from RNAcentral. Lineage: Eukaryota; Viridiplantae; Streptophyta; Magnoliopsida; Brassicales; Brassicaceae.
CUUCAUGACUGAUAGCUUGUGAAGCCUCCACAUCUCCUUGUAAAGUGAUUUGUCCUGUUUGCGUUAGAAAAGAAAGCUCUUGUUUUUCCCAAUCCACUUCACAUUUUCCCAAGGUUCUCAACCAUUGGAUUCCCAACACAAUAUCAGCGCUCCCUGGUUCCAAUACGAUAAAAUCUGAAGUAAUAGUCACCUCCUGAAGUUGCAACGU